This 601-nucleotide ribosomal RNA is filed under the name Campylobacter coli. Its description in RNAcentral is "partial 23S ribosomal RNA". It matches the Rfam family "Bacterial large subunit ribosomal RNA", at positions 1 to 615 of the family's 2925-position model. The record is from RNAcentral. Lineage: Bacteria; Pseudomonadati; Campylobacterota; Epsilonproteobacteria; Campylobacterales; Campylobacteraceae.
AAAGGUAAGCUACUAAGAGCGAAUGGUGGAUGCCUUGACUGGUAAAGGCGAUGAAGGACGUACUAGACUGCGAUAAGCUACGGGGAGCUGUCAAGAAGCUUUGAUCCGUAGAUUUCCGAAUGGGGCAACCCAAUGUAUAGAGAUAUACAUUACCUAUAUAGGAGCGAACGAGGGGAAUUGAAACAUCUUAGUACCCUCAGGAAAAGAAAUCAAUAGAGAUUGCGUCAGUAGCGGCGAGCGAAAGCGCAAGAGGGCAAACCCAGUGCUUGCACUGGGGGUUGUAGGACUGCAAUGUGCAAGAGGUGAGUUUAGCAGAACAUUCUGGAAAGUAUAGCCAUAGAGGGUGAUAGUCCCGUAUGCGAAAAACAAACCUUAGCUAGCAGUAUCCUGAGUAGGGCGGGACACGAGAAAUCCUGUCUGAAGCUGGGUCGACCACGAUCCAACCCUAAAUACUAAUACCAGAUCGAUAGUGCACAAGUACCGUGAGGGAAAGGUGAAAAGAACUGAGGUGAUCAGAGUGAAAUAGAACCUGAAACCAUUUGCUUACAAUCAUUCAGAGCCCUAUGUAGCAAUACAGGGUGAUGGACUGCCUUUUGCAUAA